This 30-nucleotide non-coding RNA is filed under the name Mus musculus (house mouse). Lineage: Eukaryota; Metazoa; Chordata; Mammalia; Rodentia; Muridae. The record is from RNAcentral.
GCAAAAUCACCUUUUACUUACAUGUGGCUU